CCGUCGUCGGUUCCAGCAUCGCCAUUUCCACCGCCAGCAGGAGAAGCAAACGAAACUGCGGAGCUCGCAGCGCGGCGUUCGCGGGGGCAGUCCACGAAAGGAUCAAAGCGAGGACGGAAACGACACGGAGCCGAAAGAGCACGGAAUGCGCCAGCAGUUGCUGUUGUUAAAGAACCUAACAAGACAUUUUAGGUUGCGGUGGAGUAAGGCAUACACAGACGUUCUCUGCCAGAGAGAGAAAGCGACAAAGACAUACACAAGGCUACAAUGAGAGAGGGAAAAUGAAGGGUCAGCGGAGAAGAUGAGAAGAUAACAUAAGAGAGAGAGAGAGAAAAUGAAGGGCGAGUGUGUAAAGACAUG
This 360-nucleotide long non-coding RNA is filed under the name Glycine max (soybean). RNAcentral's name for it is "long non-coding RNA (GMAX_LNC001073)". The record is from RNAcentral. Lineage: Eukaryota; Viridiplantae; Streptophyta; Magnoliopsida; Fabales; Fabaceae.